GACGAACGCUGGCGGCGUGCCUAGUACAUGCAAGUUGAGCGCUGAAGGUUGGUACUUGUACCGACUGGAUGAGCAGCGAACGGGUGAGUAACGCGUGGGGAAUCUGCCUUUGAGCGGGGGACAACAUUUGGAAACGAAUGCUAAUACCGCAUAAAAACUUUAAACACAAGUUUUAAGUUUGAAAGAUGCGAUUGCAUCACUCAAAGAUGAUCCCGCGUUGUAUUAGCUAGUUGGUGAGGUAAAGGCUCACCAAGGCGAUGAUACAUAGCCGACCUGAGAGGGUGAUCGGCCACAUUGGGACUGAGACACGGCCCAAACUCCUACGGGAGGCAGCAGUAGGGAAUCUUCGGCAAUGGACGAAAGUCUGACCGAGCAACGCCGCGUGAGUGAAGAAGGUUUUCGGAUCGUAAAACUCUGUUGGUAGAGAAGAACGUUGGUGAGAGUGGAAAGCUCAUCAAGUGACGGUAACUACCCAGAAAGGGACGGCUAACUACGUG
This 497-nucleotide ribosomal RNA is filed under the name uncultured bacterium. RNAcentral's name for it is "partial 16S ribosomal RNA". It matches the Rfam family "Bacterial small subunit ribosomal RNA", at positions 28 to 507 of the family's 1533-position model. The record is from RNAcentral.